This 673-nucleotide unclassified non-coding RNA is filed under the name Saxifraga iranica. RNAcentral's name for it is "sequence contains ITS1, 5.8S rRNA gene, ITS2". The stretch from base 268 to 423 matches the Rfam family "5.8S ribosomal RNA". Lineage: Eukaryota; Viridiplantae; Streptophyta; Magnoliopsida; Saxifragales; Saxifragaceae. The record is from RNAcentral.
AGCAAAGCAACUCGCGAACACGUAGUCAACACUCGGGGAUCCGAGCGCGUCCUCCCCGGGGGACGCCCUCUCUCCCCAAAGUCGGGGCGGCCCGGCGCUCGUUGCUCGCAGGCGGCGCGAUCGUCGCGAGCUAACGGCCUCCGGGCCUUCCCGACGCAACAAAAAACCGGCGCGGAAUGCGCCAAGGAAUAUGAAAGAGAGUGCGCUCUUCCGGCGUCAGCUCGCGCUGCGCUCGGACGGGCGUCGUCUUCUKGAUGAGUUUAUAAUGACUCUCGGCAACGGAUAUCUCGGCUCUUACAUCGAUGAAGAACGUAGCAAAAUGCGAUACUUGGUGUGAAUUGCAGAAUCCCGUGAACCAUCGAGUCUUUGAACGCAAGUUGCGCCCGAAUCCAUCUGGUUGAGGGCACGUCUGCCUGGGUGUCACGUACACGCGCCUCCCGCGAACCUUCCCCUUUUAUGCGGACGAAGGGUCUCGCGGGAGCAGAUGUUGGUAUCCCGUGCCUGUUUCGCGCGGCUUGCCUAAAAACGGAGAUCCGGCGACGAAACGUCGCGUCUAGUGGUGGUUGUUGAGGCCUAACGGCCGAACCAGUUCGCGGCGCGAUCGUUUGUCUUAAGAAAGUCUCGGACGACACCACGGACGCCCCUUAACGGGCGUGCUACUGUCGCGACCCCA